GCAGAUUCGACACAAAACCCGGAAGGACCCCGCCGAAGGUUUUCUCCGGUUCGGGAGAGAGACGGAGUCCCGCUCUGUCACGCAGGCUGCCAGGCUGGCGUACAGUGGCGCAAUCUCAGCUCGCUGCAACCUCCACCUCCUGGGUUCAAGCGAUUUUCUUGCCUCUGCCUCCUGAGUAGCUGGGAUUACUGGCACACACCACCAUGCACAGUUCCUUGUUCAAAAUGCCAAGAACCUGGAUGACUCAUAGUCAAGACCCUCCACCAGUAACAUAUAUUGGCGAGCCAGCCAGGAGCUUGGAACCCUCGGUGGACAGUGCCUAAGCACAGAGGCAACCACAGGUUUCUAACAGGGCCACUCUCUGGUGAAACUGAAAGGUUUCUGUGUGAAAGUGCCUGACCACCACUGCCCAAUUCAGCGAAUGGGUCUCAUGAGAUCUGAUGGUUUUGAAAAUGGGAGUUGCCCUGCACAAGCUCUCCUUUUGCCUGCUGCCAUCCACAUAAGAUGUGAUUUGCUCUUCCUUGCCUUCCACCAUGAUUGUGAGGCCUUCCCAGCAUGUGGAAAUGGUCCAGCCUGCAAUAACUGAAGCCCCCAGACCUGGAACCUGAAGAUCCCAUCAGCCACUAAACCUGUGAACCUGUAGAAGACCUGAAGUACCUGUUUAAAAGGCAGCCAAAA
This 678-nucleotide long non-coding RNA is filed under the name Homo sapiens (human). RNAcentral describes it as "GARS1 divergent transcript". Lineage: Eukaryota; Metazoa; Chordata; Mammalia; Primates; Hominidae. The record is from RNAcentral.